RNAcentral lists this long non-coding RNA (702 nucleotides) under Vulpes vulpes (red fox). Its description in RNAcentral is "lncRNA (ENSVVUG00000003667.1)". The record is from RNAcentral. Lineage: Eukaryota; Metazoa; Chordata; Mammalia; Carnivora; Canidae.
UAAUGAUCAACUUGGGUGCAGUUUUCUCCAUGAGGUUGAGCAAAGAUAGAGGAGGUGCUAUGCAUGCCACAGUCUUCUUCAUCAUCUUCGAUUUGCUCAUCUUCUUGGCAGGCUCAUAGAAAUUUGCGAGGACUCAGAGAACUGGAUUGCUAUAACAUCUUUCUAAGAUCUGCUUCAGGCAAUGCAUUUCAGCAAAGAACAAGCCAUGGAAGAUCGCAGUUGGGCUUUUUCUGCCUCUUUCCACUUGUGCAGAAUAUGGUGGUGUCAGCAGGUUCCAGACUGCACAUUCUCCAUCCCAGUGACCAUUCCCAUUCACUAGCCAGAGUCAGGCCCAAAGGCCUUCAGGAGCUGGGCCACAUUUUGAUUAAAAGUGAGUGAUGGGGCAGUGGAAAUAUACAGAAUGCUUAAUAGCAUUUAAAUUAAAUAAUAUUAAUGGCCAAACUAAAUAUAGCCAUAGUUAUCAGGCCAAAUAUAGCGUUGAGUUACCAUUUUAAGAUCCCUUGACCAAUCUUUCUUAGACCAUUUCCGAAAUUCAGGGGACAUCUAGCUUUGUCAGCAGGGAUAAGACUAGGUGAGGUGAUAAAGCCUCAGAUGCAUAAUUUAAGAUGAUGUCUAAAAAGAUCAAUAAUCAGAUAAAUGCUAUUUCAAAGCAAUGUUUUUUUUUUUAAAGAUUUUAUUUAUUUGAGAUAAAGAGAGUGUGAG